Molecule: transfer RNA, 69 nt
Filed under: Ictidomys tridecemlineatus (thirteen-lined ground squirrel)
Lineage: Eukaryota; Metazoa; Chordata; Mammalia; Rodentia; Sciuridae
Description: Spermophilus tridecemlineatus (thirteen-lined ground squirrel) tRNA
Rfam family: tRNA
About the family: Transfer RNA (tRNA) molecules are approximately 80 nucleotides in length. Their secondary structure includes four short double-helical elements and three loops (D, anti-codon, and T loops). Further hydrogen bonds mediate the characteristic L-shaped molecular structure. tRNAs have two regions of fundamental functional importance: the anti-codon, which is responsible for specific mRNA codon recognition, and the 3' end, to which the tRNAs corresponding amino acid is attached (by aminoacyl-tRNA synthetases). tRNAs cope with the degeneracy of the genetic code in two manners: having more than one tRNA (with a specific anti-codon) for a particular amino acid; and 'wobble' base-pairing, i.e. permitting non-standard base-pairing at the 3rd anti-codon position.
Source: Rfam by way of RNAcentral
GGGGUUGUGGCUCAGUGGUAGAGCGCUUGGCUAGCAUGUGUAAGUCCCUGGGUUCGAUCCCCAGCACCA